RNAcentral lists this transfer RNA (72 nucleotides) under Fukomys damarensis (Damara mole-rat). It matches the Rfam family "tRNA". From Rfam's summary of the family: Transfer RNA (tRNA) molecules are approximately 80 nucleotides in length. Their secondary structure includes four short double-helical elements and three loops (D, anti-codon, and T loops). Lineage: Eukaryota; Metazoa; Chordata; Mammalia; Rodentia; Bathyergidae. The record is from Rfam by way of RNAcentral.
GGAGAUACAGCUCAGAGGUAGCGUGCUUGUCUGACACGCAUGAGGCCCUGAGUUCAAUUCCCUGCAUCACCA